This 231-nucleotide non-coding RNA is filed under the name Caldibacillus thermoamylovorans. Its description in RNAcentral is "Bacillus thermoamylovorans T-box sequence". It matches the Rfam family "T-box leader". Rfam says of the family: Uncharged tRNA acts as the effector for transcription antitermination of genes in the T-box leader family. T-boxes are found upstream of many aminoacyl-tRNA synthetase genes and some amino acid biosynthetic genes usually in Gram-positive bacteria. The record is from RNAcentral. Lineage: Bacteria; Bacillati; Bacillota; Bacilli; Caryophanales; Bacillaceae.
AAAAAAGUGAUGCAAAGGACAAGGGUCUGUUGUUACGGUUUAUAGAGAGGGAAGGACGGUGGAAACUUCCUAACACGAAUAAUGGACUUACCCCCUUUAAACUUCAACUGUGAAAGAUUUUCAAGUAAUGGUUGACGGAACCGACCGUUAUCGGCUUCUUGAGUCGCAAUGGUUUUUUAAACUUUGCGAGAAUCAGGGUGGAACCACGGGUAUUUAAAACUCGUCCCUACU